RNAcentral lists this unclassified non-coding RNA (344 nucleotides) under soil metagenome. RNAcentral describes it as "partial contains 5.8S ribosomal RNA, internal transcribed spacer 2, and large subunit ribosomal RNA". The stretch from base 1 to 120 matches the Rfam family "5.8S ribosomal RNA", at positions 35 to 154 of the family's 154-position model. The record is from RNAcentral.
GAUGAAGAACGCAGCGAAAUGCGAUACGUAAAGUGAAUUGCAGAAUUCAGUGAAUCAUCGAGUCUUUGAACGCACAUUGCGCCCCCUGGUAUUCCGGGGGGCAUGCCUGUCCGAGCGUCAUUGCUGCCCUCAAGCACGGCUUGUGUGUUGGGCCUCCGUCCUCCUCCCGGGGGACGGGCCCGAAAGGCAGCGGCGGCACCGCGUCCGGUCCUCGAGCGUAUGGGGCUUCGUCACCCGCUCUUGUAGGCCCGGCCGGCGCUUGCCGACACAUCAAUCUUUUUUCCAGGUUGACCUCGGAUCAGGUAGGGAUACCCGCUGAACUUAAGCAUAUAAUAAGCGGAGGA